AUUGAACGCUGGCGGAAUGCUUUACACAUGCAAGUCGAGCGGCAGCGCGGGGGCAACCCUGGCGGCGAGCGGCGAACGGGUGAGUAACACAUCGGAACGUACCCAGCUGUGGGGGAUAGCCCGGCGAAAGCCAGAUUAAUACCGCAUACGACCUGAGGGUGAAAGGGGGGGAUCGCAAGGCCUCUCGCAGUUGGAGCGGCCGACGGUGGAUUAGCUAGUUGGUGAGGUAAAGGCUCACCAAGGCGACGAUCCGUAGCUGGUCUGAGAGGACGACCAGCCACACUGGAACUGAGACACGGUCCAGACUCCUACGGGAGGCAGCAGUGGGGAAUUUUGGACAAUGGGGGCAACCCUGAUCCAGCCAUUCCGCGUGAGUGAAGAAGGCCUUCGGGUUGUAAAGCUCUUUCGGCAGGAACGAAACGGUGGAGGCUAAUACCUUUCAUCAAUGACGGUACCUGAAGAAGAAGCACCGGCUAACUACGUGCCAGCAGCCGCCGUAA
This 500-nucleotide ribosomal RNA is filed under the name uncultured bacterium. RNAcentral's name for it is "partial 16S ribosomal RNA". It matches the Rfam family "Bacterial small subunit ribosomal RNA", at positions 29 to 523 of the family's 1533-position model. The record is from RNAcentral.